CGUUCAAACACUAGUUCUCAUACUAUCACCAAAGUUAAGCAACGUUGAGCCUAGUCAGUACUUAGAUGGGUGACACCUUGGGAAUAUCAGGUGGUGUA
Non-coding RNA from Acanthosepion pharaonis, 98 nucleotides. The record is from the annotation of a GenBank genome assembly. Lineage: Eukaryota; Metazoa; Mollusca; Cephalopoda; Sepiida; Sepiidae.